AACACUCUCUUCCUUCUAAAACUGCAAACUCAUUCAUUUAUCAUCUUCCAGAUCAGGCAUUCACUUGAAUCAAUUCAUUUCAUCCCGCGGAAGGAAGGACGAUUUCUGUUCGUGUGAGUUCUUAAUUGCUUAAACUUAAUUUAAACUCAUAUAUUCUAUUUUCGAACAUCUUCGUCACUUUCAUACUUCUGAACAUUUAAUUAGUGAUCGUUAUUGUUUCCGAUGGGAAUUUUAUGAAUGAUAUUCUGGAAUUUGUCUUUAUUUCUUAAGCAUUUAACUUUAACUUUCUGAAUGAUUGAUAAAUUAUAUAUAUAUAUAUAUAUAUAUAUAUAUAUUUGCAAGUUUUUUUGCUAAAUUAAUUCUUUCUCCAUUGUUAAUGUUGAAAUUGCGCUUGGUUGAGCAUCAUGCUCGAAGAUUGUUUGAUAUUUGCAAGAAUAGAUUAGCUUUUUCUCCGACUUGAUACAGUUUCUGUAAUGAGUGUUUCUCUUACCUAAAAAAGACUUUUAAGAUAUAAAGAGCAUACAGAAAUUCACAUUGAUGCUCGCAUAGUUGAGCAAGAACUUCAUAAGAAUGUCAAUAGACUCAAUACUACUAGGGGUUGGGGCAUGAGAGUUUUGGUUCUAUUGCUAGCUCGUAGUUCCAUGUUGCUUAGCUAUUUAUGAAAAGGUUGAUAUAAGGUGAUAUAUACCUUUACAUACAAGAGUUAGUCAAACUUCAAAAUUGUAUUACAACUUCAAUAAGAUUUGGCACUUUUACCUCCUCUGAAAGUUCAAUUUUGCCAUGGAAUAUGCAAAGGCAGAUGCAAAUACUAAUGGAAAAGCAAUAAGAAUUACUGCUACAAAACCUAUAUUUUCACGACGAUAACCAAAAUAACUGCCUAAGAAGGCAUUGAUUGCUUUUUCUUCUCCAAAUGCUAGUAUUUGCUUGUCCAUAUCUCCGUAUUGAGAUGUAAUAAGGCCUCUCAAGGACCAGGCUGGUGGGCAAAUCCAGUAACACCAACUCCACCAUCUUGGAAUUCUCUGUAAGAAAUCAAAAGAGAGUAGUUUGUAUCAGUGGAACUGAAAAUUUAGUUGAUAUAUGUUGGAACAAAUUCAUAUUUUCUUUUUGACAAGUACAAGCAGAUAUAUUUAUCAAUAUUGAAAUGCAAAAUGUUGUUUUCUCUGUAGAAACAUAUGUGAACUAGGAAAACGUGGUUCAUUGGUGUGUCCCAACCUGAAAAGUGGUGUUAUGGUUUGUUGAUUUCCUGUGUAACAGAUAACAUUGUGCAAGUGCAAACUACUGAUUGCAAUUGUGGUUUUCAGGGUUAAGAGAAUCAGACUUGACUUACUGGUUCAGGUAUGAGGAAUCCCGAGAAAAGACUUAUCAUGGUGUAGCAGAAGCUUGCCAUUACAGAAGCCAUUUGGAGGGAUGAGGUCAUGGAAACGAGCAACAUGCCAAGGUAAGUGAAGUAGAGCAUCGUACAGAACAUUGUGUAGAAGUACAAAAAUACUUUAUCUACAGACCAGUAGAAACCUAUUGCUGGAUAUGUGAUUAUCAGAAAUAAAACUGCUUGAAGGAAUAUAUACGGAAUUUCAAUGAUCACCUGCAACGUUGAAAAAUAAUAUUAUAUGCAGUUCAAAAAACUUAACUAUCUUUUGACUUUUAACUUUGAGAACAAUCUGUACGCUUGUGAAUAUUUCUGAACCUGUGCAAAAGAAUAAGCCCAGGAGGAGUACAUUCCAGCAAACCUCUCUCUGUAUAAAAUGGUGCGCUCAGUAGAUAUAAUUGAUAGAACAGAUGAGCAGUUGCUUAUACCCAAAAAUUGUAGAAAGAUGAACAUUGAUCCUAGUAUGUUCAGCAAAUCCUGUUCGCUAUUUCUGGAAGCAAAGAAUCACAAUUAUCAUUUUAGGUGUUGAACUUAAAGAAGUUCCAACUGCCAAAUAAAAUAAUUUAAAUAUAAAGAAUUUGAGACAUCAUUAGCACUUGCAAAGAGAACCUCCCNNNNNNNNNNNNNNNNNNNNNNNNNNNNNNNNNNNNNNNNNNNNNNNNNNNNNNNNNNNNNNNNNNNNNNNNNNNNNNNNNNNNNNNNNNNNNNNNNNNNAAGAAACUUAUUGUUGAAUGAUCUAGAAUACUAGCAGUUGUGCUGCUAGUUUUGUCUUAGAAUAAUUGUACUUUCAUACUUAGAGUGUGUGGAUGGAGUAGUAGUUCCAUGGAGAUCCAUUUGUUGAUUCAUGCUGCUCUUUUCAAGGCUACAGAAAAACUGAUUGCACUUCGUGCCAGCUGGUGACGAGGUGGUGCUUGGAUCAUCUCAGUUUUCUUGGAAGAUAAAUAAAUUUGUGCACUAUGUGACGUGACUAUAUGAAUAUACCCAAAAACCCUUCCCCACUCUCAGCAGUCACCACAUAAAUAUAUGAUAAAGCUUGCCCAAUAAGAAAAAGAAAAAGGAAAUGCUUACAUUUCUUUUCCUUUCCCCCAAAGAAUCGCUCCUAACAGCAAAGACGCCAUGGUGAUAAAUGUUAAGCGAGCCAAAUUAUAUUUAGGAUUCCUCCAAUAGGACAAGUUAUGCUUCCAGAGGCAUGCUUUAAACUGUUCCCAUCCAUUUUGCGAAAAGCAAGUAGAAAACUGUAGCUCCUUUGAAUCUUGUGGUGGAUAGCUCAGUUCUCUAGCUAGUUCCUUGGUUCUCCUACAUAAAUAAGAACGCGAAUACCUAAUUUAAUCCCUUCUUUUGGGUGGAAAACACCUUAUUUAAUAAUUUAUGUAAAAAACUGAUUAUACUGUUUAGCAAUCCGAACGGUUUCUGUCAUAUUCAUAGCAUUGACAUAGGUCUCAUAGUUGAUGUACUAUCAGUUAAUGUGGAAAUGUCAACAGUUUGGCAAUCUGGGAGAGUAUUCAUGUAUAAUUUUUAUGCUUACCGACAUAGAUGAGACUCUUUAUAUAAUUGGCCAAAGUCUAAACCAAGUCGUGCUUCUGCUGAUGAACUCGAAACCUCUAGCAUCCACGUUGCAGGGUUGUGAUUUUCCAGGAUUUUUGGCACUCCAGGAACAUUCUGCCAAUAAAAGAGAGACAAACUGUUGUUAAAUAGUUAAACUUUUAAUAUCCUUGCGUUAUUACCUUCUUUUUUAUAACAAAUAAAAUAUGAACUGCGUUUUUAUGGCACCAAUAGAAUACAAUAUUAAAUCACAAACCGCCAUACAUAAUAUAUCCUUAUAGCCCAUACAUAAUAUAUUAUGUCUAAAAAGAGUUGCAAAAUACUAUAUAUACUGGUUGUAGCAGCAACUACUUCCAAACAGUACCGAGACACUCAACCAUCUGUGCACAUGGCUAAAAUGUUAUGAAAAUACGAGUUAAAACGUCUACUAAAGGUAGCCAGUACAAAUGUAAGAAGUGGUUAAAUAUUCCACUUAAAGGUAGCCAGUACAAAUGUAAGAAGUGGUUAAAUAUUCCACUUAAUUUGAACAACAGUCAUAUCUCUUACCAUCUCACAAUAAUCUUAAAUAUAUCGAAAUCAACAUACAUGGCAAGCAAAAAUACUCAAAUAACAAUGCAGUUUUCUGGUAAGGGAAUGUUGCAAACUUGGGAAGCAGCUCUACAUCUUAUUGACAGUGAUAUUUACAUUAACAAGCAAAGACCUACUCAAUCAUCUGCUGCUUUGUUGCUUACCUCAAAAUAUUCAAUAAGUUUACUUGAAUGCUGACCCAACUCUCCAGAAUAUAUUAUUUGUCCUCCUCUCUUCAUUAGAAUUAGCUGCAGGAAACAUCAAAAGCUUUCCAAUUAUCCUAUUCUGAUCUGGAAAAGAAUAGAAAAUAAAAAAGAAAAAGGAGAAAACUGAAAUCUAUUUUCAAUAAUGGACUGGAGAAUCGAGUUACUUGACAUGUUGAGCUAAAGUGGAUUCAACCCAUGCAUUCUUCAUUUCAAUAUAAUUUCUGUAAUCAUGCAUUUAGGGUGGUGGGGGCUGCUUUUCAAAACGUGCAAGUAGUAACUGCAACAUUAGAGGUUUGACUAUACACAUUUCCUUGCUCAUGGUAAACAUAAGUUGCCGGGGUUAUGCAUGCUUAAUUGAAGACCUGUUUUUCUAUUCUUUUUUUGUUCUAUGACCUUUUAUGGUCAAGUGUACUGUGUACAGCCAUGUUGAGCUCAUUCGUUAUUAUUUAGUUACAAGUUUAUUUAUCAUCUUAGAGAUGUAAAUAAAAAACUGUCAGCAUGUCAAAUUGCAAUACUAUCUAUCAUUUUAUCUUUACAGGAAUUUUCAGGUUUUUAUUUGAUGGACUUAAUUACCUCAUCAAAUGACUCAAAUAUGUCAAUACUUGGCUGAUGAAUAGUGCACACAACCGUCCUUCUUGUAUUAACAAUAUUCUUUACUACUCUCAUGACAAUUGCAGCUGCUCUGGCAUCUAAACCAGAUGUUGGUUCAUCCAUAAAAAUUAUGGAUGGAUUUGAAACAAGCUC
This 4425-nucleotide long non-coding RNA is filed under the name Panax ginseng (ginseng). RNAcentral's name for it is "long non-coding RNA (PGIN_LNC015364)". The record is from RNAcentral. Lineage: Eukaryota; Viridiplantae; Streptophyta; Magnoliopsida; Apiales; Araliaceae.